GGGUGUGACUGCGUACCUUUUGUAUAAUGGGUCAGCGACUUAUAUUCUGUAGCAAGGUUAACCGAAUAGGGGAGCCGGAGGGAAACCGAGUCUUAAUUGGGCGUUAAGUUGCAGGGUAUAGACCCGAAACCCGGUGAUCUAGCCAUGGGCAGGUUGAAGGUUGGGUAACACUAACUGGAGGACCGAACCGACUAAUGUUGAAAAAUUAGCGGAUGACCUGUGGCUGGGGGUGAAAGGCCAAUCAAACCGGGAGAUAGCUGGUUCUCCCCGAAAGCUAUUUAGGUAGCGCCUCGUGAAUUCAUCUCCGGGGGUAGAGCACUGUUUCGGCUAGGGGGCCAUCCCGGCUUACCAACCCGAUGCAAACUGCGAAUACCGGAGAAUGUUAUCACGGGAGACACACGGCGGGUGCUAACGUCCGUCGUGAAGAGGGAAACAACCCAGACCGCCAGCUAAGGUCCCAAAGUCAUGGUUAAGUGGGAAACGAUGUGGGAAGGCCCAGACAGCCAGGAUGUUGGCUUAGAAGCAGCCAUCAUUUAAAGAAAGCGUAAUAGCUCACUGGUCGAGUCGGCCUGCGCGGAAGAUGUAACGGGGCUAAACCAUGCACCGAAGCUGCGGCAGCGACACUCAGGUGUUGUUGGGUAGGGGAGCGUUCUGUAAGCCUGCGAAGGUGGCCUGUGAGGGUUGCUGGAGGUAUCAGAAGUGCGAAUGCUGACAUAAGUAACGAUAAAGCGGGUGAAAAGCCCGCUCGCCGGAAGACCAAGGGUUCCUGUCCAACGUUAAUCGGGGCAGGGUGAGUCGACCCCUAAGGCGAGGCCGAAAGGCGUAGUCGAUGGGAAACGGGUUAAUAUUCCCGUACUUGGUGUUACUGCGAAGGGGGGACGGAGAAGGCUAUGUUGGCCGGGCGACGGUUGUCCCGGUUUAAGCGUGUAGGUGUGUGUUCCAGGUAAAUCCGGUU
Molecule: ribosomal RNA, 955 nt
Filed under: Salmonella enterica subsp. enterica serovar Agona
Lineage: Bacteria; Pseudomonadati; Pseudomonadota; Gammaproteobacteria; Enterobacterales; Enterobacteriaceae
Description: partial 23S ribosomal RNA
Rfam family: Bacterial large subunit ribosomal RNA
Source: RNAcentral